GUCUACGGCCAUGCCACUCUGAACAAGCCCCAUCCCGUCUGGCAGGGUCGGGCCUGGUUAGUACUUGGAUGGGAGACCACCUAGGAAGACCAGGUGAUGUAGCCA
This 105-nucleotide ribosomal RNA is filed under the name Pteropus alecto (black flying fox). The record is from RNAcentral. Lineage: Eukaryota; Metazoa; Chordata; Mammalia; Chiroptera; Pteropodidae.